AGCCAGACUCCUACGGGAGGCAGCAGUGGGGAAUAUUGCACAAUGGGGGAAACCCUGAUGCAGCGACGCCGCGUGAGCGAUGAAGUAUUUCGGUAUGUAAAGCUCUAUCAGCAGGGAAGAAGAUGACGGUACCUGACUAAGAAGCCCCGGCUAACUACGUGCCAGCAGCCGCGGUAAUACGUAGGGGGCAAGCGUUAUCCGGAUUUACUGGGUGUAAAGGGAGCGUAGACGGCGAUGCAAGCCAGAUGUGAAAGCCCGGGGCUCAACCCCGGGACUGCAUUUGGAACUGUGUGGCUGGAGUGUCGGAGAGGCAGGCGGAAUUCCUAGUGUAGCGGUGAAAUGCGUAGAUAUUAGGAGGAACACCAGUGGCGAAGGCGGCCUGCUGGACGAUGACUGACGUUGAGGCUCGAAAGCGUGGGGAGCAAACAGGAUUAGAUACCCCUGUA
Molecule: ribosomal RNA, 446 nt
Filed under: uncultured bacterium
Lineage: Bacteria
Description: bacterial SSU rRNA
Rfam family: Bacterial small subunit ribosomal RNA
Source: RNAcentral